This 254-nucleotide ribosomal RNA is filed under the name uncultured bacterium. RNAcentral's name for it is "partial 16S ribosomal RNA". It matches the Rfam family "Bacterial small subunit ribosomal RNA", at positions 524 to 776 of the family's 1533-position model. The record is from RNAcentral.
UACGGGGGGGGGCAAGCGUUGUUCGGAAUUACUGGGCGUAAAGGGCUCGUAGGCGGCCAACUAAGUCGGAUGUGAAAUCCCCAGGCUUAACCUGGGAACUGCGUCCGAUACUGGCAGGCUUGAAUCCGGGAGAGGGAUGCGGAAUUCCACGUGUAGCAGUGAAAUGCGUAGAGAUGUGGAGGAACACCGAUGGCGAAGGCAGCCCCCUGGGUCAAGAUUGACGCUCAUGCACGAAAGCGUGGGGAGCAAACAGG